AUGGUAUCAGCUCACAUAUAUCAAAGGAAAAACAACAAAGAGAAGAAAAAAGGCAAACAGAGCUUUCAAAAAGAGAUACAUUCAGAAUUGUACAACACUGAAAGCAUUGCAUCAGGAGAGCAAACACACAUGGAUCAUUCAUCAAAGACUCUAGGAUUCAGAAUCAAGCAGAUUGAAGAUCAAGCUAACAAAUACGCCCAGAAUAGAACUGUUGAUGAAGUAGUUAAAAGGUUGAAGGACAGAGUGAUACGAGAGGCAGCCACUACUAAAGACAGCUUUUUUUACCUACAACAAGUAUGAGAAAAUUAAUAAAGCUGGCUUGCAGAAGGUAGGAAAAAUGUUA
Molecule: long non-coding RNA, 343 nt
Filed under: Calidris pygmaea (Spoon-billed sandpiper)
Lineage: Eukaryota; Metazoa; Chordata; Aves; Charadriiformes; Scolopacidae
Description: lncRNA (ENSCPGG00000004483.1)
Source: RNAcentral